This 472-nucleotide ribosomal RNA is filed under the name uncultured bacterium. Its description in RNAcentral is "bacterial SSU rRNA". It matches the Rfam family "Bacterial small subunit ribosomal RNA", at positions 335 to 799 of the family's 1533-position model. The record is from RNAcentral.
ACUCCUACGGGAGGCAGCAGUGGGGAAUAUUGCACAAUGGGCGCAAGCCUGAUGCAGCCAUGCCGCGUGUGUGAAGAAGGCCUUCGGGUUGUAAAGCACUUUCAGCAGUGAGGAAGGCGGAGUCGUUAAUAGCGGCCUCGUUUGACGUUAGCUGCAGAAGAAGCACCGGCUAACUCCGUGCCAGCAGCCGCGGUAAUACGGAGGGUGCGAGCGUUAAUCGGAAUUACUGGGCGUAAAGCGCAUGCAGGUGGUUUGUUAAGUCAGAUGUGAAAGCCCGGGGCUCAACCUCGGAAUAGCAUUUGAAACUGGCAGACUAGAGUACUGUAGAGGGGGGUAGAAUUUCAGGUGUAGCGGUGAAAUGCGUAGAGAUCUGAAGGAAUACCAGUGGCGAAGGCGGCCCCCUGGACAAGACUGACGCUCAGAUGCGAAAGCGUGGGGAGCAAACAGGAUUAGAUACCCUGGUAGGAUAGCG